This 683-nucleotide long non-coding RNA is filed under the name Homo sapiens (human). RNAcentral describes it as "long intergenic non-protein coding RNA 2729". The record is from RNAcentral. Lineage: Eukaryota; Metazoa; Chordata; Mammalia; Primates; Hominidae.
AGGUGUGAUCCAAGGUUCUGCAAGGAAAAGGAAGGAUGGUGUGGAGUGUGUUGCUGCAGGGAAGGCUUCCCAGUGGAGGUGGCUCCUGAGCUCUAGGAAAAGGGAAGUGAGUGUCCUUCCAGGCAGAGGGAACAGCAGGUGCAAAGGCCUGGGGGCUCGUCUAUAAGCACCAGAGGUCUGAGGCCCUGCAGGAUGGAUGGCUGAGACAUUGCUGCUGGGAAGGAGCUUGUGGGGGGUCUUGCGCCCCAGAGGCCCGCUGGAGUCACAAGCCCCAUCCCAGACUCUCCAACGCUGGACCUGCAGCGCCCAGCCCUGCCCUGGUGCUACCACCUGCCAGCUCUGUGCCUGCCCCUCCACUAGAUCAUGACUUCGGCUCCAGCUCCCUCACUCUCCAUGCCUCUCACUUGCGGGUUGUGCCCUGCUCAGCUGGCCAGACUUUGGCCCCCUCCCUACCUGGAUUUGUGAAGCCCCAAAUUUCAUCUCCCCCACCACACUUAUUCACAGCCUCCGCCUGCUGACAUACCCAGGCAAGACUCCCUUCCCCUCCAGGCAGCCAAACUUCAGUUCGAAUCUUCUGGCUCUUACCAGACCCCUGAUGAAUCCCAGGAUCUUCGCAGGUGGUCCCAGGGCCUCUUUGAACCACAGUUUUACUUAUCUGAAAAAUAAAAAGGCAUGAUUUAGAU